CGGAGGAUCCAAGCGUUAUCCGGAAUCAUUGGGUUUAAAGGGUCCGUAGGCGGUUUGAUAAGUCAGUGGUGAAAGCCCAUCGCUCAACGAUGGAACGGCCAUUGAUACUGUCAGACUUGAAUUACUGGGAAGUAACUAGAAUAUGUAGUGUAGCGGUGAAAUGCUUAGAUAUUACAUGGAAUACCAAUUGUGAAGGCAGGUUACUACCAGUGGAUUGACGCUGAUGGACGAAAGCGUGGGGAGCGAACAGGAUUAGAUACCCUGGUAGUCCACGCCGUAAACGAUGGAUACUAGCUGUUCGGAGCAAUCUGAGUGGCUAAGCGAAAGUGAUAAGUAUCCCACCUGGGGAGUACGUUCGCAAGAAUG
This 366-nucleotide ribosomal RNA is filed under the name uncultured organism. RNAcentral describes it as "bacterial SSU rRNA". It matches the Rfam family "Bacterial small subunit ribosomal RNA", at positions 526 to 896 of the family's 1533-position model. The record is from RNAcentral.